Molecule: transfer RNA, 72 nt
Filed under: Nelumbo nucifera (sacred lotus)
Lineage: Eukaryota; Viridiplantae; Streptophyta; Magnoliopsida; Proteales; Nelumbonaceae
Rfam family: tRNA
About the family: Transfer RNA (tRNA) molecules are approximately 80 nucleotides in length. Their secondary structure includes four short double-helical elements and three loops (D, anti-codon, and T loops).
Source: Rfam by way of RNAcentral
GCAUUUGUAGUCCAACGGUUAGGAUAAUUGCCUUCCAAGCAAUAGACCCGGGUUCCGCUCCCGGAAAACGCA